UCCACCAUAAAUGCACAUUGAACGAACCAAUAUAAAAACCGCUUUCAAAAUGCAAUUGGAGACUUAUAUUUACAAUUGAAAUGACAUUGGAGAAGUAAAGAACAACAAAAAAAAAGAUAAUGGAAACAAUAACAAUGAGGGCAAGAGAUAAGAUAAAUUGCAGAAAGGAAAAACAGACAAAUCAACAAAAAAACGACAAAAAAUUGGUCAAGUGUGAAAUAGCAGGACUUUAUGUCCUUUGCGCAAGUAAAAUGCUUUGUUGGAUAUGCCAUGUAAAUAAUUUAUGUAGCAGGAAAACAUAAAAAUCAUUAACCGCGGGUCAUUCAAGAGCAGCCGCACAUACGCACACUCUCUCGUAACAAAAAACAAAAGAAACCAUAAACUAUUUAGCAAAAAGUACUAGGAUGACAGGUGUUCGACGACAAAGGUAAUUUCAUGUCAUGGAAUGUACUAUAUGAAGAGAAGCGAGAUCCCAGCAGUGUAACAGCCGUUGAUUGUUAGAAUGGAAACGGUUUCUAUUACUCAACCGUAAGUGACCACUGUUGUUCUACAAUCUUCGACAAAAGGAUGAAAUAAACCUGUUUUAUUUGCAUUUUCAAACAUAUUGACCCUAACGACCCGCAAGAAUCACGAAUUUCCGGACCGUCUAUGGCAACCGAUUGUACGUGCCGGAUUGAUCUUCAUCGGCAAAGCCUGCCGUCUCAGUGUACAACAACCUGCUACAACAACAAUCUGAAUGCAGAGACACCAGAAUAAGGCACCUCACCCACCAUCACACAAAAUUCCGCUUAAUGGGUAAAUAAAACACCAGGCCAAUCUUCGCAUCUUUACACUUACAUCGUAAUAUUUGGCAUAAUACCCUGUAACGCAGUCAGUAUGACAAUGACCAUUAUAGAUACAAAGCCAAAGCACGUUCGAAUAUGCAAAAAUAAAGCUCACCGAGAACGACCUGCCAGCAAACAGUCCAGAAUCAGAUUUUUUUAAUCCCGCCACACACUACGUAUGUUCUCUUUCAAGACAAGACACAUUCUUUGAGGCUGCAGCCCUAUGCCUAAGGA
This is a long non-coding RNA of Stomoxys calcitrans (stable fly), 1058 nucleotides long. RefSeq lists it as uncharacterized. The transcript is spliced from 3 exons. NCBI's taxonomy places the organism in Eukaryota, Metazoa, Arthropoda, Insecta, Diptera, Muscidae. The record is from RefSeq and is a predicted model, not a curated record.